This 301-nucleotide ribosomal RNA is filed under the name uncultured bacterium. RNAcentral's name for it is "partial 16S ribosomal RNA". It matches the Rfam family "Bacterial small subunit ribosomal RNA", at positions 509 to 809 of the family's 1533-position model. The record is from RNAcentral.
CAGCAGCCGCGGUAAUACGAAGGGGGCUAGCGCUGUUCGGAUUUACUGGGCGUAAAGGGUGCGUAGGCGGACUGAUAAGUCAGAGGUGAAAUCCCGAGGCUCAACCUCGGAACUGCCUUUGAUACUGGGGAUCUCGAGUCCGGGAGAGGUGAGUGGAACUGCGAGUGUAGAGGUGAAAUUCGUAGAUAUUCGCAAGAACACCAGUGGCGAAGGCGGCUCACUGGCCCGGAACUGACGCUGAGGUGCGAAAGCGCGGGGAGCAAACAGGAUUAGAUACCCCCGUAGUCCCUGUCUCUUAUAU